Long non-coding RNA from Pseudopipra pipra, 9475 nucleotides. RefSeq lists it as uncharacterized. Lineage: Eukaryota; Metazoa; Chordata; Aves; Passeriformes; Pipridae. The record is from RefSeq and is a predicted model, not a curated record. The transcript has 2 exons.
GGCAGGGGCGGCGGGUGGACCUAGCACCGGUCCGAUGGCAAAAAAGCGUCGAAAAGCAGCGAAAAGUUCCUUUGGGGUCUCCGCGGCUUCUGAGUGGUUUUUCCACGGCUUGGAGGGUCUACGCUGUCAUCACAGACAGGCAGGGGUCGGCAGGAAGUGGCAGGCAGCAGCAGUGAGCUGCAGCAGUUUCUGCUAGGCAGAAAACUGAUGCGGGCUUCGCGGGGUCUGGUGGUGGGGCUGGGGUGUUACAGGCAGCGGUGGGGCCGGUUCCACAUGGUUGGUUCAGCCGCGAUGGUGGCGGGGCGGCAGGGGGUGUCCUGGCAGUUUUAGCGUGCUCUGCCGCCCGGGUUUCCGAGCUACCGCUUAGGGAAGCGUCCUGACCACGUGUUAGAUGUUGGGGCUGCCUCUCAGCCUAACUCACCGCUCCGGUGUAUGUUGGACUCCGCUCCACUCUCUCCGGCUGUCCCGAUCUGUUGUUUUUUUCUUUUUUUCUUUCUCCUUUUCUUCCCGUUCCUGUGCACUAUCCCUAAUAUUUUUGGAGCUCUCUAAACUAGGAUUGCGUUUCUCAGAUGCUCUGAGACAAUGACUUAAAGACGUCUGCGUUUUUUUCGUUGAAAAUUCCCAUCUCCAAACAAUCGAGAUGAUAAACGGAAUUACCGAGUGUUUUGCCUGAUUCAGGAUAUGCUAAACUGACCUAAUAUAGGUUGAAAAGUCCCAAGUUCGGGUGCGCCAUAUGUAGCGUGGCGUACUUUACAUGGUAAAGAAGGAAGCACACUCUUUGUGAGGUGGUGAGACAAAGAGGCUUUAUUUCAAAUUUCGCGCUUCCCUUUAUACCCUGAUAUCAUGUGACCUUCUAACCAAUAGGGUUAUCCAUUUAGACGCAUGCUCCUUUGGGUUUCUCAGCCCUGGCACGUCCCCCGUGCCUUGGACACGUCUCCUACAGGAGUGGUUCUAGUGUUUUUCCUUAGUGAAAUCAUCAAACUAUAUUUUUGUUUAGAACCUCUUUCUAGGAUGAGGGGUGCGUCUGCAUUUGUGUAUCACAAAAAAACCCUUUGAGUCUGACUGAAGAGCCCUGAAAAGCUGUUUUGGAGUGAUCUGGCAUACAGACUUGGAAGUAAAACUCUUCACAGGGUUGGAUAUGCCUAGAUGCCAGGUCAGUGAGAUCCCUUCUGCACUUUUCAGGUUACGUGUUUUCUCCCUAUCUGUACAACAAGGCUUAACACCUCCCUAGAAAGUUGGAGAUCUGUCACAAUUUAAAUUACUAAUUUGAUGGUCAAACAAUUUCUAAUUCCUUGUCAGAGAAAAUCUCCUAUUUUUAGCUUUGAUCAUAAAAACUUAAAUGUCACAUUUGCCUGACAGAAAUACAGAAAUAGAAACCAAUUAUGUGUGUUCUUAAAUGGUUCAUAUACUGAAAGGCAUUUGAAUGUCUUCUGUGAGACUGUUACAGUUGCCCAGUCAGACCUGAAACCCAGGUUCUGGAGGCUCAUCGAGUGACUUUCAUGCCAGCCUGCAAUAUGUGUUCAAGCAAUGCAAAUCUCUUGGAAAGAGGAGUCUGUCUUGACCAUUUGGACCAAAGAAAGCUAGAAGGCAGUAAAACCCAUAUAGAACAAACAAACUAUCCAGAUUAACUAAAGACAUAGAAGGGAGGGAAGAUUUAGUUCAUGUUCACAUACAUCUGGUUCCAUUAAAGCCUAUGGGAAAUAUUCAGAUAUACGCAAAACCUGAAAAUAUGACCUUAUUAUAUGGCACAGUGAUUAGGGAGCUUUAGAAUGGAUGGAAGUAAGUUUUUUCUAUGAUUUAAUGUCUGAUUAUAACUUUUUUUUUACCUAUUGAAGUAGAUUCUGUUUCUAGAGGGAAAUCCAAUAUAUCUUAAUCAGUUUAUUUUCAUUACAGAAAUGCAACCUAUACAUAAAUGCUAAAUUAGUGAUGGGGUAGAGGAGGAGGCUAGUGGUGGCUGGCCAGGUUUUUUAUAAAGGGAGAGGCAGGGAUGUCCAGCCCAAUAGAAACAGCCGAGACAGAAUCCAAGUUCCUAUAAAUUAGUUCUUUCCUUAAAAUAUACAUGUUUUGCAGCUGAACCACCUACUUCAAAAAUUAUAUGACUGCUUCAAUGUGCAUAUAAAAUGUUUCCAAAACACUUUAACAAAUCCAUUUUACUGGCAUCAAUAAAAAGGUGCCAUUCAUUUGAUUAACACUGAAAAUUUGAAGACAUGAUAAAACUCAAUCUAUAUAGAAAAGUGUGAAAUGUUGCCCAAAAGUGAGAAGGCAUUCUACACUGUUGCCCUUUAUCCUCCUCAAUGAAACAAAGAUCAGAUAGGAUUGUUACAUACACCUGAAAAAAUGGGACAAGUUAUGAUUCAACAAAUUAUGAUUCUUCUUCCUAAGCCACAAGUCUUUGGCCAUGGGGAAUUGCAAACUGUUAAUGAAAAGAUCUCCUCUUUACUAUACUUCUUACUGGGAUAAAGGUAUUUUCCUGUCUUCACUGGAUUCUCAUACUCUGUUUAAAUGCUGUAAGUCUCAUAAGUUAAAUGAAAACUGACCACAGCUUCGUUUUCACAAGGCAGCACAGAGAUUUCACUCUGAUAGAAUUGGUAGAGAUGAUCAAGUUUUUCAAAGAGCAGUUCUCCAGAUAGUCCAACCUAUCAAAAUUUAAACUUCUUUUCAUACCUUGUUUUUGACAGACAUUUAUUAUAUAUAUUUUGAGGGACUAUCUUGACCUUGUUCCAUGGGCUUCAAGUAACCAUUUUUGGUUACCACUCCUAGCCAAAGCAAAUGCCCUUUUUAUCUGCUACAUGAGGUUACCCAUGGUUCAGCUUCUCUUCAAAGCCUUUGAAAGGCCCGGAAAGUCAGUUUCAGCUCUUUCCAUUAUUUAAUCCUUUCAUUCAAAAGACAUUAAGUUUGUAAUAGCUGCUAAAGUAUUUCAGAAAAAAAGCUAUUCCUACUGUGUUUUAUUAUGCCUGAUGCAUCCACACAGCCACCCAAGAAUGAUUACACUGGCAGGAAAAACAGUAAUAAAGAGUUAUAAUCUGUGUUUGGAUGGCGAUUACAUAAUUUCUAAACAGUUAAAGAAAUUUCUUUUAAUGUAAUUUCUGCAGCACAAAUCAGGAACAAACUUAUAGAACUGGAUGGCCAUUGUGCAUCUGGUUUCUGUUACUGAGAAGCUGACAGGCACCAUUUACUCAGACCAUCUGCAGAGAAAAUGUUGGCAUUUUUUUGUUCUGUUUUUCUUCUAAGACAAACCAUUUUUGCUGUCAGCAUCUCAGGCUUGAAGUAACACAAAGCACGUGUUACUUCCAGAUAAGGGGAAUGGUACUCUUAAAAAUGUGCCAUGUAGAAUUUAAUCAUAUACUUGACAUAUGAGGGAUACACUCUUGAGAAAUAGAAUGUCUCAUUUUAAAUAUUUGUUGUGUAUUAAGGAGCUGAUACAAAGUCUGCUGUAAUUGGUGUGUGUCUCCCUAGUUUUACUAGCAUGCAUCAGAUCCUCAGUCCUUUCUGAGAUUUGCUAACAGACUCAGAUUCUGUGAAAAUAUUAAUAAUUUGUCUGCCUUUUCACUUGCAACAUCCUAACUGUGUUAAAAUAUUCCUUUAAUGGAUGCUCAGAGUUAAGGAAGACUAUAGAACUCUAAAACUUUCUUAAAUAAAAGAGAAAUGAAGGGGAGCACCUUACAUUACUUAUUGUAAUGAAGAUCUUUACUCACUAUUUUUUGUGUGAAGUCCAAAUUAUGUUGAUGAAGGUACCUCAAGGCUUUAUUUGACAAACAGGACAAAGCUGUUGCUGCAUGCCAGCUCCAAACAGCGGAAAGAGACAUCCAGAUGCCAGUGUUGACUGGCAUCUCUCAAAAUUAGGUGUGCACUGGAGCUGAUGUUUGGGGCUGAAGGGCACAAAGAGAUUAAAGUAUUAUUGGUUCUUCCUGCAAGGGAUGGCCAAAUAAUCCAACAGCUCCUGAAGACAGAGAACAGAAUUUCCAUGCUAGUGAAUAAACUCCAUGAAUGCAUGAAUUUUGUUAGAUUUGAGGGCAAAUUCAGAGAAAGCCACAUCCAGUCUGUAGGCUAAGAUAAGCUAAAAAAAUAAUAAUUAUUCUACUAAUACAUUUGUGAAACAGAAGUCCCAUCCCUCUUUCAAAGAGUUUUUAGGAUCUGAAAUAAAGUAAGAAGCAGUUUUGCUGGUAUUUAAAAGAUUUUUUUUCCUUUAAUUAAGGCGUCUUUCAGGAAUACCUAACUUCUUUUUUAACAAUCUAGUAAUAUCACCCCUUACGGAUGUAGUAAACAUCAGGGCAAAAGACAUGAGCUGUAUGAUAUCCUUCCACACUUAGAGUCACACUACAAUUACCAACAGCUUUGCCAUUUGUAUGAUAGCACUUGUUUGGGGGGUCCUUGAAACUGUAUGCCAUUGACCAUCUCACCUACAGUGUGCUGUCACUUAGAUGACAACACUUAAAUCCUUUUUACAGCCUGCUCCUUGGUAUUUAAUUUAGUCCUUGUCAUAGGAGGUUGACAUUUCUAGUUUUGGAGGCUGAAAGUCUUCUUCUCCCUAGAAAUAAUGAGAGAAGGCAACCAAUAUUUCUUCCUGCAGAACAGGUAGAGGCAAACUUUCCCAGCUAUCUCAGUCUUAUAGUUUCACCUCCAUCCAGAUGGACUAAUCAGUAAAUGGAAAGUGCCUCAGCUCUUUCCACAGAAAAUCCACAGGAUGUUUAUUACUGUCAGGGAUGAUAAGUUUUGCUGCAUUGUAUUCCUAAAGUGAGUAGUUACAUAUUAAAGUCCUCCUUCAAAGUAGAUUAGCUGUUUACAGAUGAAGAAGGGCUAAAAACUAAAAAAUAUGAGGGUAGGCAGGAGGAAUGCUAUCCAGAGAUGCAGAAAAGUUUUUGUGGUUCUCAGUGUCAGUCCAGUAAAGUGGAUGCAAGUACAACAGGUUUAAGAUGCAUUAGGAAAAAAUAUUUUAAUUUUUUUUUUUGCAGCAGCAUCUGUUUCUAUUCUGUCUCAUAGAAAAAAUAGCAACAAUCUUACACAACAGUAGCUGAAACAGUCAAAAAGGCAGUAGUAUUGCAACACAGUCCCCUGAAGAACAGUAUGUUCUGUUGUAGCUUUUUUUUCUUUUUUACAGAUGGUUUUCAGACAAGUUUCUGACUUUAAAUAUUUGAUUUGAUGGUUGUUAGAAUAAUAUGGGCAAAGAACAGCACAAUUCACAGAUGGACAUCUCUUUACUAAUCUGGUUUAGUACAAGAAAUUCUGUGCUUCUUAUUAAGAAGAACAAGCUCCUUUAUCACUGUCUUAUUUGGAUUUUAAGUCUCCUCUGCCUUUUCAGAAUCAUAUUAUAGUCUGCUGUCACACGAGCUUGGACUCUAAUUAUCUCAUAGCUCAAACAGUGUUAAACGUUCUCUGGGGCUGGUUGGGUGAAUUCCAAGAAAAAUUUAAGCUGCCACAGGAGCUGAUUCUGAUGCUUUCAAUAUGUGACCUUUGGCUGAUCGUGAAUUGUACCAAUAACCCAAUCUGGUGGUGAUUAUAUCCUCUUCUAAAUCCAAAGUAAAACUUGGAUUUUGACCUUAAGAGAUAAUGAGGAAGUACCACUGGUCUUAAAGACCCCCCUGAAUAUGCACACAUCGGUACCCAGAGAUGCCCAUGGCAGAAAAUAAAAAAUUAACACCAGAUGGAUAGUUCCUUCUUUUAAAAACUGGUCCAAACAGGACAGAGUUUUCUUUUCUCUCUCCUUCUACAGGUAUUCCAUGGGAAGAUGAAGUGGCAACAGGGCUUAAGAGUUACACUGUUCUUCACUGCAUUGAUUAUUUGCAUACAUUUUUGUCUUGAUAGUUUUGCGAUAUAUGUUUUGUCUCAGUAGUUUUCCAGUAUGUAUGUAAGCUUGCCACAAACAAUGUUUUGGGCUGUUUGUGUCUCCUCUCUGGUUGCCACAGUGGGUGGGAACUCAUACAGGAUUUCAUAAGUUUAUGAUCAGAUUUGUAUACCCUUCCUACCUCUUUGAAGCAAAAUAUAAAAUUACUUUGAAUUGAGAAAUAAUCAGGACUUGAGAAAGAAGUGUGAUUUGAUGCCAAAGGAACUGCAUAAAGUAGUGGAAAACAACGUAUCAAGCAUGAUUAUGCAGAGGAAGGGGAUGUUGAACUGUUGGUGGCCCCUGGAGGGAAGGAAAAAGGGUCUGACAGAGGAGCUGAGGUAGAAGCUGGAAAGUUUUCUCCAGCUGUAGGCAAAGAAGGUGUAAGUGGUCAAGUAGUCAGAGGAGUGGAAGGAAGGAUUUUGGGUUUGGAAACCAAUGAAGAGUUUAGUUAAGUGGGGAAGGUAUUUAUUUGGUCUGAACCCAGGAACCUGACUGAGAUUAUAGACUGAGUAUGUGGGAAUGGCUUGAUUUUUCACAGAAUGACAGAAUAUGCAGAGUUGGAAGGAACCCACAAGGAUCAUCAAGUCCAACUUCUGGCCCUGCACAGGACCAUCCCCAAGAGUCACACUAUGUGCUUGAGAAUAUUGUCCAAAUGCUUCUUAAACUGUGUCACACUUGGUGCUGUGACUACUUUUCCGGGUUCACUUCUGUCUGCCCAUCGCUCUGGGUGAAGAACCUUUUUCUAAUAUUCAACUUAUACCUCCCCUGACACAAUUUCAGGCCAUUCCGUCCUGUCACUGGUCACCACUGAGAAGAGAUCAAUGCCUGCUUCUCCUCUUCCUCUCACAAGGAAGUUGUAGACUGCAGCAAGGUCUCCCCUCAGUCUCCUCUUCUCCAGGCUCAACAGACAAAAUGACCUCAGCAGCUCCUCAUAUGGCUUCCCCUUAAGGCCUUCAUCAUCUUCGUUGCCCUCCUUUGGAGGCACUCUCAUCCUUCCUCGGUGCCUGUGCUGAAACAUUUCUGUGCCAUGCAUUAUGAAGCCAGUUUGUUGAGGUGGGUGGGUUGAGCUGCAGGCUGAUGGUUUCCCCUGGUGAUAACAUCAAUCUUUUUUGGUUCACAUUUUCCCCUUUCCCUUGGGGAAAAAUUAGAUUCUAAUUAAUAGGGGUUAGAAAAAGCAGUGCUUCAGAAAACACAAGCUGUAUGCUCAGAUGUUCUUUUCUUUCAGGGCUUUAGUGAUCUAGGUUUCAAGUACAGCUUGGCAAUUCCUGCUAUGUUUACCACUUUCAGCUCUGUAAGAACUUUACGGGUAACAUUUCUGCUAGCGGAGUGAUAUUGCAAGCUCCAAGGCUGUCUCUGACAGAUCUUGAUAGUAUAAAGCUUUUGAAAAAAUGUGAAUUGCAACACCUUAUAUGACAGACUAAGAAGAUUUUCCAAAAGAAAUGCUUUAAGAGUUGCUGCAGUUCCAAGUUUUGCCUUAUUUUUGCUUCACUUUUGCUGUGCUUUGGUUAUCCUGCACAAGACUUCAUCAUUCCCAGAGUAAAGUAGCUUCAAACCUUCAAGCAUCUACCCAGUUCUGGCUACAGUACAUGCAAAAGAUUGUAAAUUAAGCAACUGCAUAGAUUUACCAAAUUCUAAAUAUAGCUACUGGGCACAUUAUCUCAUCAUAACCACAUUGCAGCUUGGCAAUUUUCAUUAAAGGUUAUGUUGUACAGUCAUCUUGAGGUAAGAGCAGUCACACAGAGAGUUAGAGUGCAAUAAGUAGUCUUCUGAAAUACUCAUACAACAAAUUUUUAAGGUGUAUGGUACUGACAUACUGUGUAGUAUAGUCAUAUUGCAUGGUACCAGUAGCAGAAUGUUUCUACUACAGACAGUAUUGUUUCAACCAUAUGACUGCAUUGCAGAAAGCUUCCCUCAUAAAAUCAUUGGCUUCAAACAUUCACUUGAUCUAGAGACAGGGAUCUUUCUUACUAGGGUUUGGCAACCUGACACAGAUUGAUUUAGAAGAUACACUGGUCUUUAGUCAUUUGGUUUAGUUACUUGUUGUUAGUUAUGUCUGGUUUGUUUUGAUUGCUGUUUGUUUCUCACAGGACUGAAGCAUUUUAAAGAGAAGAAUAGUGAAUGCUAGGCUUUGUAUGCUUAUUUGUACAAAUUAAGUUUCAUCACAAAAAAUAGUCAAAUUUCCAGGAUUCAGAAAAAAAAUCAUAAGUAUCAUAACUAUACAGCAAUUGUUCAAAUGUUUGUUUGUAAUGGAAAUUAAAGCAAAGAGUUUUUGUCAAGAUUUCAGUUUUGGUUAUCUGCCCCACAAGCUAAGAUGUGGAAAGAAAUACCAUUUGUUUACAAGCUGCCUCUUUGGUAAGAGGUAGAGAUGUCAUUAGGAUUGCUUGGGACUUAUACAAGAAAGUUUUUUCCUUUUUGUGCCUCUUCUUCCUUGAAGUCCUAUGCCACCAAACACCAUGAUGCUGUAAGAUCCUUUAGUCAGUGGGGCGAAGGUUCUGCUGUUGAGGGCCUGGGUGUUCCUCAUACAAGUGUCUCAGGGAGGGCUUUAGACAGGAUCUGUCCUGACCAGACUGUGUUUGGAGAUGAUGGAACCUCUUUCCCUGUCCGAGAUCCUACCAUUCAUCUGAGUUGGAGCCUCUCCCUCUUGCUCUGCAAGGGGGAGUCCACACUGACUUCAGCAGAUAAGAGAGUCACUCCACAAUGCAGCUCAACCAGGAGCAAAUCUCAAGUUCCUUAUUUUCUCUGUUAGUAUGACAUACAGCUUGGCUUGGUGUAUGUUUAUUGGUAUUGCUGUAGUCUGUAUAUUUCCCACUACAAUUCCAAAUGGGAUUUGCACAUCCUUGUGGAUGCUCUAAAUGGUUUUGACCCCAUGUUGACUGCCAGGGACUUGGUGUAUUGGAGAUCUACUACAGAAGGAGCCUAAGGUAUGAAAAAGUACCACUCUGUCUAGUAAAUAUAUUCAUUUAAUAGAGGGCUUUAAGGAGAUUGCUGCCUCUUAUAUGUCAGCAUCACCCUAUCUAGGAUAACUGCAACAGUGAUAUAAGGAGGGCUUAGAGAAGAGUGAAAGUUACAUAGCUGGAGCUCAGACUCCUACAUAUCGGUCUUUUCUAGCACCAUGAAGUCAGAUAGAUAGGAUGAAGACUACCUUAGAUUUUAAAUUGAUUUUGAAGACCUUUUCAAGAUUUAAUAAAGACUGCAGUAUCAGUUCUUGCACUGGUUGCAUAGUCAUCCCAAGUGUUUCUGCAGGAACAAAAUUAGCUUUGUGCAACAAACUUAGGAGCAACAUUUGAAUUAUACUUAUGGUCACUAGUAAAAGAGUAUUUUUUAACCAUUUUCCACACUCAGUCCCCUUGUUUCCACAGUCACACUUUGUCUUCCUGCUUUAUUUGGAAAGUGCUUAUCUUUCCUGCCUGUUCCUCACAGUGUUUUUAAAAUUUAACAUUUUACUUCUGCCAUUGUUAUUCCCUGAAACUUCUGUGCAUUUUUCAUGAAUAUGUUGUCAUGCCUUCAUUAGAUAAAGAUUUUUUUCCUCUCUGCUGUAAUGAUCUUAUGGUCAGAAUAUGGAUCUUUUUUUGGUUGCUUCAUUUUGGGCAGUGUCUCCCACUUGGGCAUUGUCCAUUAGAACAAAAUAAAGAUAUCACAGUGUUCAGUACAUCU